UUUUCUGUCUCAAUUUCAAAAGCCACUCAUCUGUUACAGUAGUUGUCUGGGAAGAGCAAUCCUCACUCCUGGAAUCAAGUCAACGGGAGAGACAA
Molecule: non-coding RNA, 95 nt
Organism: Ceratotherium simum simum (southern white rhinoceros)
Lineage: Eukaryota; Metazoa; Chordata; Mammalia; Perissodactyla; Rhinocerotidae
Source: RefSeq, a predicted model, not a curated record